CCUAGUGCAGACUUCUGAGCAGGCAGGCCUGGGACRGUGCUUGGGCUGGGCUUUGCCAUGUUUCAUUUGGUCUCCUUUUCUAAAGAAAUUCAACCUGGGAGGGGUAAUUCUGACCCAUUACAAUCAACAGGAGUAUUUACAACAUAAUCAUAUUUUGCAACUGCUAAGRGAUGAUUUUGGAGAAUUUUCUCUAAACCAAGGAAGAACAGCAUAAGAGCAUGACACUACUGGAUCUGCCAGCCGGCCUUUACAGAGUCUGCUUCACCCUUGCCGAAGCUCUGUAGUAUCCAAUGGUUUUGAUGACAGGAAUAGAGGUGAUACCUGAAGACACUCCUCAUCUCACUGCAGGUAAGGGCGCAGAGA
Molecule: long non-coding RNA, 363 nt
Filed under: Dromaius novaehollandiae (emu)
Lineage: Eukaryota; Metazoa; Chordata; Aves; Casuariiformes; Dromaiidae
Description: lncRNA (ENSDNVG00000014186.1)
Source: RNAcentral